Molecule: unclassified non-coding RNA, 909 nt
Filed under: Hevea brasiliensis (rubber tree)
Lineage: Eukaryota; Viridiplantae; Streptophyta; Magnoliopsida; Malpighiales; Euphorbiaceae
Source: RNAcentral
GGGAGGUAUAGGAGGAGCACCGCUUAAUUUUGAUGAUGCAUAAAAUGUACCAGAAGACUCAAUAACAGCUACAAGAGAAGCAGCCAUCAUUGAAAGAGCAUCGCCAACUUCAAAAAUGGGAGUUCCCCAUUGAAAUGGUUGUGGAAUCUUUAUCCAAGGAGCAGCACCAAUGAGCCCAGAACUAUCAGAAUGAGAAUUCAUUUGUGUUUCUUGAUGGUUUAUCCAACGAGCAGCACCAUUGAGACUAGAACUAUCAGUACGACAAUUAAUUUGUCUUUCUUGAGAUGUAUUAUCAUAUGCACCAGCUACAGUCAAAAUCUCUGCAUAGGUCCAUACAAUUCCCACCGAAAGUAUGAUUGCUAAUUGACCAACUAUCUCUUUUUUUGCUUUCCAGAUAAGGGGAAGAAACUGAGUUAAGAAAACCAAUAUAGCUAAAGCUGGGAGUCCAAUUUCAAUACACUUAGCCACCAGUGGAAAUCCACGGACGUACAGCCCAAGUCCCGUGAGUGUUACAAGAGGAACUGAAGCAAGAGGGCUAAGGUGUCUUGCAAAAUAUCUCGCCAAACCAGAGAAACCAAUCACCAUUUGAAAGAAAGACGAAAUGAGACUUGCUCCUUGUACACGUCGUAUGAAUAGUUCAAACCUCUGAUGGGGAUCGAGUGAGUGAUUAAAAUUACUGUAAGUUGAUAAAGCAAUGGAAAUUAUAGGGAUAAUGUAAGCUUGGGAUGUUUCCAUAGACACAGAAAGCCGAGCACCAAAACAAAUCUGCAAAAGUGUGUUUAUUGCCAUUGCAAACAGCGACGCUUGUAUCGCCCUUGCUUUCUCUACAUUGCCGCCUCCGCCCAAACUGACCAUCAGGGACGGAAAUAUCACUGUACUCCUCACAUUCACUACUAAGUGCUGAACUCC